AAAUCGCCCKUUAMUUGUGGGCUUGAAUGAAUGGACAAACGAAAMAUCUACUGUCUCAAAAMUACUCUUAAAAAUUAUUCUUUAGGUGAAGAAACCUAAAUCAAAUUAAAGGACAAGAAGACCCUGUAGAGCUUAGUUCUCUAUUAUUAACUAAACUUACAACUAACCUUUAUUAUCUUAUUUAUUUACUUAAUAUAGAACUUGGCUGGGGCGGCAAGGGAAAUAAAUCUUCCCUUAUUAACUCUAGGAAUAUUAUCCUUAUCUAUGACCCUUAAAUCUAUAGAUCAAAAAACAAAGCUACCUCAGGGAUAACAGAUUAAUCCUUCUUAAGAGCCCGCAUUGACAGAAGGGUUUGACACCUCGAUGUUGGCUUAAGGUAUCCUAUAAAUUAGCAGCAGUUUAUAAGGGUAGGUUUGUUCAACCUUUAARACCUUACGUGAU
This 441-nucleotide ribosomal RNA is filed under the name Terebellidae sp. 2 RDC-2023. Its description in RNAcentral is "partial large subunit ribosomal RNA". The record is from RNAcentral. Lineage: Eukaryota; Metazoa; Annelida; Polychaeta; Terebellida; Terebellidae.